CUAGUCUUUGAGCUGUUAAUUUAAGUUAUUUUUUUUCUAAUCAUACAUUCUCAUAAAAAAGUAAAUUUAUCUGUUACUACGUUACAUUAUGUGUACAUAUUAGUACCUUUUAGCUUUUGUACCUACACAGGAAAAAUGAGAGAGUACUUUUUUCGGAGUUACCAUCAGUAAUUUUUAUUUAAGUAGGUGUAAAAACGUAGAGGAAAUAUGUUGGAGUAAUCCAGCGAGACCACGCCCACUCUACUUUCUUAAGUUUCGUUUCUUCCGCCAUUUUGUUAUCCCGCAGCGGCCGGAGGAAGAUAAAGGCUGUGACUGAGGAAAGAUGCAAGCUGUGCGUGAACAUGUUGAACGCUAACAAAAAAAUGUUUUGAAGUUCAGCUGACCUUCAAAUCCUUUUGGGAAUGUGCUGCCAAAAAGUUCAACAUCCCAACCUUGGACUUGAAAGUGUUUGAUG
This is a non-coding RNA of Oryzias latipes (Japanese medaka), 454 nucleotides long. Lineage: Eukaryota; Metazoa; Chordata; Actinopteri; Beloniformes; Adrianichthyidae. The record is from RefSeq and is a predicted model, not a curated record.